This is a non-coding RNA of Macaca mulatta (Rhesus monkey), 881 nucleotides long. The record is from RefSeq and is a predicted model, not a curated record. NCBI's taxonomy places the organism in Eukaryota, Metazoa, Chordata, Mammalia, Primates, Cercopithecidae.
CACCGGACCCAGAAGCACAACCGGCUGGCACUCAUCAAGAGAGUUUGCUGCACCUAGCCCAGGUGCGCCUGCAGUGCAGAGCGAGCUCCUCCCAGUCAAUCAAGAGGAAAAGAGAGGAAGCGAGAAAACCACGGAGACCUGCUAUGGUGGCCAACGAUCCCGCAAAGAGGGAACCGCGGUCCACUCACGGGAUUCAGCCUCCCGUCAAGCCCAGCAGGCGCAGGCCGCGCCCAGUGCGGGGCUUGCCCAGCCACUGAACCCGGUCCAGCCCCGGAGCGCCGCGCCUGCCUCUGUCUUCACACUUCCCCGCCAGCAGAGGGAGCCAGCUCCGGCCUUGGCGAGGCCCAGAGAGGGGCCUUCCUAACGCAGCGGCGGGCUGAGGGGCUCCUGGAGCGCCGCCAGAGCAGACACGGAGACCGAGGAGGCACCGAGAGCCAGCGAGGGCUGCUAGCACGUUGUCACCUCUCAAAGCCAUCAAUAUGAUUCUGAGAAGAUUGGCAUGCGUCCUGUUCUCCGAAGUGUUAAGCAUUUUCAGUGGAGAAAGCCAUCCUUGAAAUCAUCCUUAAAAUUGAUAUGCUAUCUGAAGAUCACUCAUUAAUAUGAUGCCACUAGGAUCAGUUAAAAGUCCUUUCACAUAAAACACAAGACAAAAAAAGGAGAGUCAUGUUCUCACAUGGAAUUCAGCCAGGUUUUUGGGAUUGUUUCUGGUAAGAAUAUGAUGAAAGGAGCAAGAAGUUUCACUUCUCAGGAAUCUCCUUGGACUGAGAUGUUUGGUAGCUCAACACUAUUUCCCAACAAAGUAGCUAACCAAGGCUAUGGUUAUGACUUCAGUUAUCGUAUCAGAGGCCUGCUUAUUUGAAAUAAAAGAUGAAUGAACACCA